GGGCGGUUAGCUCAGUUGGCAGAGCGCUUCUGUGACAUGGAAGAGGUCGCUGGUUCAAGCCCAACACCGCCUACCA
Molecule: transfer RNA, 76 nt
Filed under: Clostridia bacterium
Lineage: Bacteria; Bacillati; Bacillota; Clostridia
Description: tRNA-Val
Source: RNAcentral